UACGUAGGGGGCAAGCGUUGUCCGGAAUCAUUGGGCGUAAAGAGCGUGUAGGCGGUUCGGUAAGUCGGCUGUGAAAGUCCAGGGCUCAACCCUGGGAUGCCGGUCGAUACUGCCGGACUAGAGUUCGGAAGAAGCGAGUGGAAUUCCCGGUGUAGCGGUGAAAUGCGCAGAUAUCGGGAGGAACACCUAUGGCGAAGGCAGCUCGCUGGGACGUUACUGACGCUGAGACGCGAAAGCGUGGGGAGCAAACAGG
RNAcentral lists this ribosomal RNA (253 nucleotides) under uncultured bacterium. RNAcentral describes it as "partial 16S ribosomal RNA". It matches the Rfam family "Bacterial small subunit ribosomal RNA", at positions 524 to 776 of the family's 1533-position model. The record is from RNAcentral.